GCUUGUUGAGUUAUUUUGAAAUCUUUUAUGCACUUUUCUGUUGAGUGCCUUUAUUUUAAACUAUGAGAUAUGCCUAUCUUUAAUUCAGAAAUCUAAAUGCAAUCUUAUGUUGUUCCACCGAGGUUGAUUUUCAAAAUGUGUAUAUCUAAUAUUUCUUACUGCAGCUUUAAGCUUCACUGUCAUCUAACUUUGUCUAGUUAAUUUUUGUUAUCUGUCUUUGAACCUAUAAAAUGGGUGAUAUGUACACUUGUCGUUAACUACAUGUGUUUCCUGAACAUGUCUAAAGUUUUUAUAAGAAAUACAGUUCUGAGCUCGGGCAAUCGUAGGAUGACUAGACACAUACUACAUAUGAUUUGAGAUGUGUAUGUAUGCAGUUUCACCCUUUGCUAAAAAAUGUGCUAUACAAUGUAGACUUUGUGAAGCCACAUGAGCUAGGGGUUGCACCGCAGGAGCAUAGCGUGUACAAGUACUGAACAUUGAAGAUUGCAUUGCAGCUCAUCAGUAUGCCUUCCUUGCAAUCUUUGAAGCCAAUUAAAUUCGGAAGUGUUAUUUUUUUGUACAAGUUUCUAUGUGUCAAGUACUUGCUAAUUGAUGUUUUGAGGGGUGCUCAUAUACUUACUCGGCAACAUGGAAAGUUUUCACAUUUGUUCUAGCGGUGUCUAUGGGUUAGCGACUUAGCAUACAUGUUGUAAUAAGGUUUCACAUUUGCUUCUCUGACAAGUAAGGUCUGUUUUUAUUCAUAGGUAGAAGAUAGCGAAAGAGUGCUGCAGGAUAAUG
RNAcentral lists this long non-coding RNA (777 nucleotides) under Triticum aestivum (bread wheat). Its description in RNAcentral is "long non-coding RNA (TAES_LNC000140)". Lineage: Eukaryota; Viridiplantae; Streptophyta; Magnoliopsida; Poales; Poaceae. The record is from RNAcentral.